Liolophura sinensis is the source of this 704-nucleotide long non-coding RNA. RefSeq lists it as uncharacterized. The transcript has 3 exons. NCBI's taxonomy places the organism in Eukaryota, Metazoa, Mollusca, Polyplacophora, Chitonida, Chitonidae. The record is from RefSeq and is a predicted model, not a curated record.
ACUAGACCGUAUGUACCCAGUCCCUCCCUGUGGAAGUUCGGGUCCGGAUCCUAGACCGGCGCUUAUAUCGAAGGUCCACUUUCUCCAUUUUGCAGCCAUUAUUGCCUUGGUUACCUUCCUCAUAACGGUGGUCAUCAGUAUCUUUACAACGGCACAGCCUGAAGAAAAGUUGGGCCGCGUUACUUGGUGGACAAGGAAGGUAAAGGCACUUCCUUACUGGAUAACACAAAACAAAGCAGAUGAACCGUCGUCUGAGAGGCAAAACGAUACCAAGCCAAAGAGGGUUCAUAUGUGUCGUGAGUUUUUCUGCCGCUGGAUAUUCGGUAUAGACACGAAUGACCGGCCACAAACCCACGAAAUGGAAACAGGCAACAUAAAUAAUACUUCAAUUAAAGAAGAUGUCUUCUGGACAAGAGUCGUGGACAUCGCCGCUAUUCUGUUCGCCAGUGUAACGGCUUUUGCGUUUGGAUUCUUCGCCUAAAGACGCCAAAGACUAUCACAAAAUUUACCACAUUUAAUAAAUCUUCUCUUGGAAACUGUAACAACUCUACCAGGCUACGAAUUCAAAAUCGUUUUAUGUUUAACAUUUGUUGCUUAACUUAAAUAAACCCAUAUGCGAGAAAAACAAUAGCGAUCGCCAUCUUCAUGAGUUACAGUGCCUCCAUAAAAUGCAUGUUUUCAAACACCAUUACUUGACGUAGAUG